Molecule: transfer RNA, 88 nt
Filed under: Deltaproteobacteria bacterium
Lineage: Bacteria; Pseudomonadati; Myxococcota; Myxococcia
Description: tRNA-Leu
Rfam family: tRNA
About the family: Transfer RNA (tRNA) molecules are approximately 80 nucleotides in length. Their secondary structure includes four short double-helical elements and three loops (D, anti-codon, and T loops).
Source: RNAcentral
GCCUGGGUGGCGGAACUGGUAGACGCAAGGGACUUAAAAUCCCUUGAGACGUGUGCUCGUGCGGGUUCGAUUCCCGCCCCAGGCACCA